RNAcentral lists this ribosomal RNA (506 nucleotides) under uncultured bacterium. RNAcentral's name for it is "partial 16S ribosomal RNA". It matches the Rfam family "Bacterial small subunit ribosomal RNA", at positions 29 to 523 of the family's 1533-position model. The record is from RNAcentral.
AUUGAACGCUGGCGGCAGGCCUAACACAUGCAAGUCGGACGGUAGCACAGAGGAGCUUGCUCCUUGGGUGACGAGUGGCGGACGGGUGUGUAAUGUCUGGGGAUCUGCCCGAUAGAGGGGGAUAACCACUGGAAACGGUGGCCAAUACCGCAUAACGUCGCAAGACCAAAGAGGGGGACCUUCGGGCCUCUCACUAUCGGAUGAACCCAGAUGGGAUUAGAUAGUAGGCGGGGUAAUGGCCCAACUAGGCGACGAUCCCUAGCUGGUCUGAGGGGAGGAGCAGCCACACUGGAACUGAGACACGGUCCAGACUCCUACGGGAGGCAGCAGUGGGGAAUAUUGCACAAGGGGCGCAAGCCUGAUGCAGACAUGCCGCGUGUAUGAAGAAGGCCUUCGGGUUGUAAAGUACUUUCAGCGGGGAGGAAGGCGGUGAGGUUAAUAACCUUGCCGAUUGACGUUACCCGCAGAAGAAGCACCGGCUAACUCCGUGCCAGCCGCCGCGGUAA